This 497-nucleotide ribosomal RNA is filed under the name uncultured bacterium. Its description in RNAcentral is "partial 16S ribosomal RNA". It matches the Rfam family "Bacterial small subunit ribosomal RNA", at positions 28 to 507 of the family's 1533-position model. The record is from RNAcentral.
GAUGAACGCUGGCGGCGUGCCUAAUACAUGCAAGUCGAGCGAACAGACGAGGAGCUUGCUCCUCUGACGUUAGCGGCGGACGGGUGAGUAACACGUGGAUAACCUACCUAUAAGACUGGGAUAACUUCGGGAAACCGGAGCUAAUACCGGAUAACAUGUUGAACCGCAUGGUUCAACAGUGAAAGACGGUCUUGCUGUCACUUAUAGAUGGAUCCGCGCCGCAUUAGAUAGUUGGUAAGGUAACGGCUUACCAAGGCAACUAGGCGUAGCCGACCUGAGAGGGGGAUAGGCCACACUGGAACUGAGCCACGGUCCAGAGUACUAAGGGACGCAGCAGUAGGGAAUCGUCCGCAAUGGGCGAAAGCCUGACGGAGCAACGCCGCGUGAGUGAAGAAGGUCUUCGGAUCGUAAAACUCUGUUAUUAGGGAAGAACAAAUGUGUAAGUAACUAUGCACGUCUUGACGGUACCUAAUCAGAAAGCCACGGCUAACUACGUG